This 72-nucleotide transfer RNA is filed under the name bacterium. RNAcentral describes it as "tRNA-Met". It matches the Rfam family "tRNA". Rfam says of the family: Transfer RNA (tRNA) molecules are approximately 80 nucleotides in length. Their secondary structure includes four short double-helical elements and three loops (D, anti-codon, and T loops). The record is from RNAcentral.
GGCGGGGUAGCUCAGUGGUAGAGCAGCGGACUCAUAAGCCGUUGGUCGCGGGUUCAACCCCCGCCCCCGCUA